RNAcentral lists this ribosomal RNA (504 nucleotides) under uncultured bacterium. Its description in RNAcentral is "bacterial SSU rRNA". It matches the Rfam family "Bacterial small subunit ribosomal RNA", at positions 8 to 507 of the family's 1533-position model. The record is from RNAcentral.
AGAGUUUGAUCAUGGCUCAGAUUGAACGCUGGCGGAAUGCUUUACACAUGCAAGUCGAACGGCAGCACGGGGGCAACCCUGGUGGCGAGUGGCGAACGGGUGAGUAAUACAUCGGAACGUGCCCAGUCGUGGGGGAUAACGUAGCGAAAGCUACGCUAAUACCGCAUACGAUCUCUGGAUGAAAGCGGGGGACCGCAAGGCCUCGCGCGAUUGGAGCGGCCGAUGGCAGAUUAGGUAGUUGGUGGGGUAAAGGCUCACCAAGCCGACGAUCUGUAGCUGGUCUGAGAGGACGACCAGCCACACUGGGACUGAGACACGGCCCAGACUCCUACGGGAGGCAGCAGUGGGGAAUUUUGGACAAUGGGCGAAAGCCUGAUCCAGCCAUUCCGCGUGCAGGAUGAAGGCCCUCGGGUUGUAAACUGCUUUUGUACGGAACGAAACGGUCCUGGUUAAUACCUGGGGCUAAUGACGGUACCGUAAGAAUAAGCACCGGCUAACUACGUG